GAACUGCGAUAAGUAAUGUGAAUUGCAGAAUUCAGUGAAUCAUCGAGUCUUUGAACGCACAUUGCGCCCCCUGGCAUUCCGGGGGGCAUGCCUGUCCGAGCGUCAUUGCUGCCCUUCAAGCCCGGCUUGUGUGUUGGGUCGUCGUCCCCUCCGGGGGACGGGCCCGAACGGCAGCGGCGGCACCGCGUCCGGUCCUCGAGCGUAUGGGGCUUUGUCACCCGCUCGAUAAGGACCGGCCGGGCGCCAGCCGGCGUCUCCAACCUUUUUUUCUCAGGUUGACCUCGGAUCAGGUAGGGAUACCCGCUGAACUUAAGC
This 315-nucleotide unclassified non-coding RNA is filed under the name plant metagenome. Its description in RNAcentral is "partial contains 5.8S ribosomal RNA, internal transcribed spacer 2, and large subunit ribosomal RNA". The stretch from base 1 to 105 matches the Rfam family "5.8S ribosomal RNA", at positions 50 to 154 of the family's 154-position model. The record is from RNAcentral.